This is a long non-coding RNA of Chinchilla lanigera (long-tailed chinchilla), 405 nucleotides long. RefSeq lists it as uncharacterized. Lineage: Eukaryota; Metazoa; Chordata; Mammalia; Rodentia; Chinchillidae. The transcript is spliced from 2 exons. The record is from RefSeq and is a predicted model, not a curated record.
ACCAGGGAGGAAGUACAGGCAGGUCUUGUGACAGUGGGCUGAACGGGGGUGGCAGGACCUGGGGGUCCCCGUCUGAUCCCCUUCUCACCUUGCUGGGGGUGGGUGGCACCUGGGAGCGCCCACCUGGGAACUUCUUAAACCCUCAUUAUGGUGGCUGGUGUUGAACUCACAAGCUUCCCUCAAGAGCUACGAUGGAUCAAUGCCCAUGUUCACAUCUGGAGAAGUUCAACAGCCCAUCAGCAGCCACAGGGAAGGUGUUUUUGAAGGAAUCACUAGGGGCACGGAAUAAUGAAGUGAAAAUAAAGAAGCUGUUAAAUCACUCAACCAUGAAUCAAGAUGGUCCAUCAGAGAAUGAGCUCCAUCCUCUCUGUGGGCAGCCCGCAUUAAACCAAAGAAUUGUUUAGA